This 2009-nucleotide long non-coding RNA is filed under the name Triticum aestivum (bread wheat). RNAcentral's name for it is "long non-coding RNA (TAES_LNC013413)". Lineage: Eukaryota; Viridiplantae; Streptophyta; Magnoliopsida; Poales; Poaceae. The record is from RNAcentral.
UUUUUUUUUUUGUUGGCACUGUUGGCUUUUGUUUCAAGGAAAAGAAAGGAGCUGGGGGGUUGGAUGGAUCUCGGCUAACGAGGUGCCUCCUGGAUAAGAUCGCUAUUGUUCGCUGCGGCGGAAGUUUAGGAUGUUUGUGCUAAGAAGAAGAAAAGUCCACGUAAGAUUUGGAAUCGCGUUCUGCCCGGCGCUCUGUACUCUCCACGCGUAGUUGGGGAAUUACAAGCUCUGUUUUUUUUAUCAAAGAAAUAAUAAAGAACAACCGUCGUGCAAAACGAAGGGGAUUUUUGUGCGCGGAGAAUCUCGAGAGGGGACGAUAAAGAAGAAGAUAUAUUCGUCAAAAGGAAAAAGGAAAAAUAAUAAUGGCACGCGUAUUGCGUGAACUGCCUUGGGCACGGGGAAGUGCACGUCUGUGUGCAGACCCGUGCGGAAUCGUCCCAGCGCGCACACACGUCCCUUGCCUGCCUGUCGACCGACUCGCGCGACCAUCCAGCAAAUCGUUCUUUCCGGUUCAGAAGAAGAUAAAAGCUUCUGCAUCUGGGAACAGUUGAGAGACGCGACAGACCUGUAAACGCGCACAUCAUCGCCCGUAACCACGAACCGCGAACCUGUUUCUUUCUUUCUUUUCUUUCUGACGGAGAAUGAUUAAGAAUAAUCCAUCCACCGAUGAUCACACGUGCCAACUGUGUCCCACUCGUGAAUGUCCUCACGCACAAUAUGUUGAGGGCGCCUCAUCGCCAUGCCUGCUUGCUGCUGCCUGUCCCAUCUCACACUCACAGGUAGGUCAAGUCACAUCGGAGACACCGUUGGCCUCAAGGAACAGUGUGCCGCAUGUUACCGCUCCAGUAGCAACAACAAGAACUUGAUCAAAGAAAAUCAUCCAAAAGUAAAUCAAGCCCACAAUGUCGACCACCCAGAUCCAAAGGACGAUAACUUCCUUCCUACAUAUGGGCUGGGCUAGCAAUAGAACAGCAGUACAGCCACGCAUGUCUCAGAAACCUGUUAUGUGAUUCUCAAACAAAAAAAGAAAAAAAAACUGUUAUGUGGCUGAAUGAAGAGCAAGCACACAAAUACGGAACAGCUUCAAAUAUUAUACGUGGGUUGAAGCGUAUAGAACGAGGACUGGGCUUUAGCCCAAUAACCAUUGCAUCUGGGAACAGUUGAGAGACGCGACAAACCUAUAAACGUACCCAUCAACGAACCCGAUCACUUUUCCUCUUUCUAACGGAGAAUGAUUACUUGAUUAUUAGGAGGAAUCGAUCCACGGUUACACGUCUCCAGUGUUAAUUAUUUCCCACUCCUGAUGCAGAAGCUGCUGCCUGCCCCCAUCUCACGAGUCACAUUGGAGACACCAUUGGCCUGAAGAAACAGGCGAGCCACAUGUUACUUCCUCCGAGUCGCUCGUCCACUCUCUACAUCAUAACUACACCUGACAUGGCAACUCUGAAUUUUACGCAGCUCUAUUAUUCAUUCAUACGGAAAGAGGUUCACACCACAUAUACUUGCACUCUUGCCUGCACCAGAACACGCACAUAACACCCACACCCACACACACACAAGCAAGUGCACGAUUGCGACGACCAGAGCACAUCAAGGCUCGAAUUAUUCCAACCUAGGCAGAUGAGGCCCACUACUGCCCAUCACUACUCACACGACGGGGUGGGCCGGGUCUCCGGCGGGCGGAGGGGCUUACGGGUUCACUUUCGGCGCCCACCCGGCGAUCAGGUUCUCCUUGGUCGCCUUGGUCUUGACGAACGACUCGCGGCUGAAGAGAGCCUGCGUGCAGGGGAAAACAUAGUCAUGAGCCUCGGUAACUUCAUCUAUGGACAAAGAUUUGGAUGUGGCAAAAGAAGGUAAUGUGUUGUUACCUCGGUGUAGGCAUGGACGCUGGUCAGGGUUUCAGGGACCUUCCAGCCCUUGAAGUGCUCCAGGGCGACCUGCAGAUGGUAGAGCUUCGGAGCCAGGCUGAGAUCGACGGCGGAGAUGUUCGCCCCGUUGAUGUAGGGUCC